This 310-nucleotide unclassified non-coding RNA is filed under the name uncultured fungus. Its description in RNAcentral is "partial contains 5.8S ribosomal RNA, internal transcribed spacer 2, and large subunit ribosomal RNA". The stretch from base 1 to 52 matches the Rfam family "5.8S ribosomal RNA", at positions 103 to 154 of the family's 154-position model. The record is from RNAcentral. Lineage: Eukaryota; Fungi.
AACGCACAUUGCGCCUUCUGGUAUUCCGGUAGGCAUGCCUGUUUGAGCGUCAGCAAACACUCUCAGCCCUGAUAUUUUAUUACAUCAGGUUGCUGGUCUUGGGUAGUGGAUGCUGGUGGCUAUUUCCGCCACCUGCGCCCUCCCUAAACUUGCUGCACGACCGCAAGCCCCUUCUAGCUAGGUCAAUGGAGUGGUGUUACAAUCUUCCAAAAAGCCUGCUGGUAACCGCUCUGCGGCGUUAAACCCAAUGUCCCCUUACCGGGACUGAAGUUUUGACCUCAGAUCAGACAAGGAUACCCGCUGAACUUAA